AUGAACGCUGGCGGCGUGCCUAAUACAUGCAAGUCGAGCGAACAGAUGAGGAGCUUGCUCCUCUGACGUUAGCGGCGGACGGGUGAGUAACACGUGGAUAACCUACCUAUAAGACUGGGAUAACUUCGGGAAACCGGAGCUAAUACCGGAUAAUAUAUUGAACCGCAUGGUUCAAUAGUGAAAGACGGUUUUGCUGUCACUUAUAGAUGGAUCCGCGCCGCAUUAGCUAGUUGGUAAGGUAACGGCUUACCAAGGCAACGAUGCGUAGCCGACCUGAGAGGGUGAUCGGCCACACUGGAGCUGAGACGCGGUCCAGACUCCUACGGGAGGCAGCAGUAGGGAAUCUGCCGCAAUGGGCGAAAGCCUGACGGAGCAACGCCGCGUGAGUGAUGAAGGUCUUCGGAUCGUAAAACUCUGUUAUUAGGGAAGAACAAAUGUGUAAGUAACUAUGCACGUCUUGACGGUACCUAAUCAGAAAGCCACGGCUAACUACGUG
RNAcentral lists this ribosomal RNA (496 nucleotides) under uncultured bacterium. Its description in RNAcentral is "partial 16S ribosomal RNA". It matches the Rfam family "Bacterial small subunit ribosomal RNA", at positions 29 to 507 of the family's 1533-position model. The record is from RNAcentral.